UGGGGAAUCUUCCGCAAUGGACGAAAGUCUGACGGAGCAACGCCGCGUGUAUGAUGAAGGUCUUCGGAUUGUAAAGUACUGUCAUUGGGGAAGAACGGUUUUCUUGAAAAGAUUGAGAAGACAUGACGGUACCCAAGGAGGAAGCCCGGCUAACUACGUGCCAGCAGCCGCGGUAAUACGUGGGGGCAAGCGUUGUCCGGAAUUAUUGGGCGUAAAGGGCGCGUAGGCGGGCCUUUAAGUCCGGUGUGAAAGAUCAGGGCUCAACCCUGAGAGUGCAUCGGAAACUGGAGGCCUUGAGGACAGGAGAGGAAAGUGGAAUUCCACGUGUAGCGGUGAAAUGCGUAGAUAUGUGGAGGAACACCAGUGGCGAAGGCGACUUUCUGGACUGUAACUGACGCUGAGGCGCGAAAGCGUGGGGNGCAAACGGGAUUAGAUACCCUGGUAGUCCACGCCGUAAACGAUGAGUGCUAGGUGUAGAGGGUAUCA
RNAcentral lists this ribosomal RNA (486 nucleotides) under uncultured bacterium. RNAcentral's name for it is "partial 16S ribosomal RNA". It matches the Rfam family "Bacterial small subunit ribosomal RNA", at positions 355 to 834 of the family's 1533-position model. The record is from RNAcentral.